Molecule: ribosomal RNA, 468 nt
Filed under: uncultured bacterium
Lineage: Bacteria
Description: partial 16S ribosomal RNA
Rfam family: Bacterial small subunit ribosomal RNA
Source: RNAcentral
GACGAACGCUGGCGGCGUGCUUAACACAUGCAAGUCGAACGGAAAGGCCCUGCUUUUGUGGGGUGCUCGAGUGGCGAACGGGUGAGUAACACGUGAGUAACCUGCCCUUGACUUUGGGAUAACUUCAGGAAACUGGGGCUAAUACCGGAUAGGAGCUCCUGCUGCAUGGUGGGGGUUGGAAAGUUUCGGCGGUUGGGGAUGGACUCGCGGCUUAUCAGCUUGUUGGUGGGGUAGUGGCUUACCAAGGCUUUGACGGGUAGCCGGCCUGAGAGGGUGACCGGGCACAUUGGGAAUGAGAUACGGCCCAGACUCCUACGGGAGGCAGCAGUGGGGAAUAUUGCACAAUGGGCGGAAGCCUGAUGCAGCAGCGCCGCGUGCGGGAUGACGGCCUUCGGGUUGUAAACCGCUUUCGCCUGUGACGAAGCGUGAGUGACGGUAAUGGGUAAAGAAGCACCGGCUAACUACGUG